CUUGAAACCGUUGUGCCACAUAGAUACGAUGACGUGUCGAAGAGAAUCGUUAGUAAUGUGAAGCAUUCAUACGUCGCGCGUCCAGGAUAAGUCUGUAAUUAUUUUAACAAUACGCUGCGGGUGGAUUUCAAGUGGAGAACAAUACGGUUAAUAACGUUGGAGCUUGCAUUGUACUUGCACGACAACUGUAAAUUGUAUACGCGCGAAAUAUAUAAUAUUUCUCAGAGAGUGAAAAUGUUUUUAAAUGAAUCUUGACGAUAUUAAUUAAUCUCGCUUUCGUCGGGAGCCUCACAAAAUAACAUUUUGGAGAGGCGAUCAUAACUUUGCAAUAUAAAGGAAAUUACAACUUAGUGAUAUUUCGGUUUGUGACCGUAACAAUGGGUGAAAAGUGCGCACGCUCGUUGCUGCGUUCACAAAUCUAACUAUCCCUUUCACGUCUGUUAAUCUCGUAAUUGUAAAGAGAUCGAUGUACAUCCGAUAAAAGUAGUCAAUCGAGGGAAUUCAAACGAAAACAUAUAUUCUGCAGAGAUUGGCUCAUCUACGCGUUAAGUAGUUGCGCCGAAGGCGAUGAUCGAAAAAAUUCACCUCGGUGCGCUACUUGUCACGUGGUACGAGUGCACUCAGCGAUAUACAGUUGGCGGCAUUUCAAUUUUUCGAAUUUUCCUUUGAUUUUCAUGAAGAGAUGUUUCUUUUUUAAGAAAAACUCUAUAAUUAUCUAAGUUUAAUUUCUGAAGCAAAUGCUUCAAUCUAACUUCCGCUUUUUCGUUUCAGUUCAUCAUCGACAGCUCAUCGCGUUGCAAGAUUAGUUGCAUUAUGAGAUCGUAUGAGAGCGCGCAAUCUCGUCGCGGGACUCGAACGAGAGCCUCACCGGCUCGGUGAAUAGUUUGAUAACGGUGAGGGAGGUGCGAGGACCGCAAAAGAGAGCGGUAGCGAGGGAAGAGAGUAGGAUCAUCAUUCGUCGUCGGUUGGCGGACCAUUCAGUGCCGCGACCGACACUGAUUUCAAUUGGUAAAUUGACUCGCAACGAGGGAGAGGAAAAAAUAGCAGCACGGUGACUGGCGAUGACGUCGCGGAUGGAGGGGAAAGCUGAUAAGUGGAGGGGCGGGAGGGAGGGGGAAAAGAUAACUGGGGGUCCAGCAUCCAGAGAAUGACGGAAAGAGAGAUCGCGCAAAAACUCUGGUAACGAGCGAGAAAAUGAAGAAGAGAGCAAAGAUCUUGUGAGAUGAAACGUAAUUAAUAAAGGAAUGAAAGGAAGGGGAAAAAAGUCAAAAUUGCAUCAACGAUGACUUCUCCUCGAUUUGUGAAAAGGAAACUAGAAGCACGAAAUAAGUUGGGAAAAGAAGAGGGUAAGUAAGAAAGUUGAAAGAGUCAUACUAUGUUUCAAUUCAUAGUAACAAAAGAAGAAGAAGAAUGAAGGGAACACCGACAACGGCGGCGGUAGAUCUCUUCUCUCUCGACAACGGGCUGCGGUUAAUAGGCAGUGAACGCCGUUUGAAUGCUUAAUGCGGCGCGCUUCUAGGAUUAAAUUGACCAAUCAUUUCCCGCGCGACGCCGCGCACCGCGGCAACCAAUUGCGCCGCGCGCGUCCCACUAUAUCAAGGCAAUCAAGAGCAUUUAGCGCUCAGUCGUUGCCGCGCCACUGCGCUAUGCGUUUCGAAGGUUUCAGUUUGUUUCCCUAUUCUUUCGCGUCCGUGCGAAGUCGUACGUAAAACGCGCGCGCGGAAACGCACACUACGAUGCGCAAUCAGUGAACGAACGGACAGAGUGAAGGAAUGCACGUGAGAAGUUAAUUUGCAAUGACGGCUGUAUCGGUGAGAAAAAAAAAAGGAAAUGCCAGUCGAUAUAAACCUGCGGAGUUUAGUUAGAUGUUUCGUAGAGUCCUCGAUUGAUUCAAUGUUUCUCUCGCUCUCAAUGACGGAUCCUCGAAUUUCAAAAACGUGAGGUCGGUCUGAAAUAUUACAUAAAUAUAUAAGUUUUAAAAAGUUUGCAAAAGUUAUUCUACAAUUAUAAAAUGUACUAUUAUAGACACUUGAGAAAUAUACACGUGUGCAUGGAUGAAAUUUAGAUAAAAUUUUAAGAUAUAAUCACGCAAAUGAAUCUUGAUACUAGCUAUAAUAGCUAAUAUGAAAUAUCAUUACGUAUGGCAAAGGGUUAAAGGUUACGCGAUUUCCUGUGAUUGUCUCAUCAAGAAUGCACGGAAAUUGUUAGACAUUAUAUAGAAUAAUGAUUGCGAUGUUAAUUGAAUGCAAAAAUUAAUACGACGAGUAUUUUCUAUUAGAGGAUUUAAAAAAUUGAAGAUUUUAUAUUUCUUAUUAUGAUUCAUAUAAGUAUAUUGUUUCAUAUACUUAUCUAUAUCGUAUAGUAUUUGGAAGAAUUACACAAAAUAAGUAAAAAAUUAUGUUCGUGAAGUAAAGAUCGUGAAUUUUAUUAUUUAUUGAAUAUUUAAUUAAUUUUUCAGUAUAAGAAACCGAUAUUAUGUAAUUUAUAUAAUUGAUACCGGUAUCCGCAUUAUUAAAGAGAAAUUCCCUAUUCUCGUUAAUUACACAGAAAUUAUUUAAAAAUGUUUAAUUUAAUUUAAAAAAUUUCACUCGAGUUAUGCUUUUAACCUGAAUAAAAUAUACUUUGUAAUUAUAAAAGAGAGAUACUUCGUUAUUCGUUACUCGAAAUUUAUACAUAACGCGUUCUGCUCUUAGCACCAGAGCACUAUUUAUCACAAUGACUUCUUGACCUGUACGAACGAUAGUAUAAUGUAUAGAACACAAGAAAGGAGAAAGAGAUAUGGACGACUAGGGUCAAAAUACCAGUAAUACAUUCCGUCUGUAACCCGCGAAAAGUAGGUGAGUCAGAAGGAAAUCUAUUAACAGAUAUUCUUUUGUUGCCUUUCAAUUGAAUUCUAUGGAUGUAACAUAAAAAAAGCAGGAAACAUAGUUUUACAUAUGAAUGCAUUUUUAUACACAAAAUGUGUUUAAAAUAUGAAUUCAAUUUAAUGAAUAAAAGUAUGAAAAAGAUAACAAACUUGAUAUUCAGUGGAUAAACUAAAAUCAUACUUGUAAAAUUUUUUUCUUAAAAAAUAGGAAUAAGUAAAUAACGGAAAUUCUAAUUUGUUUUCGGAAAGUAAAAGUUUUAUAUGUGUAUAUGGAUCAUUAAUUAUAGAAGUGAUUUAUUAUUAGAAAAUUGAUUCAGCGAUUUAAAAAGUAAAACCACUUCUCAGAAUUACGUUAUUUUUUAGAUUAUCGCCAACUUACCUUUUCCGUACUUUUCGAAUCUGGUAUGCGCACCACUGGUGCAUCAUUAAAUACACCCGCAGACGAGUCAUUUUCGAAUCGAGGGGGACAGCGUUUGACGAAGAGGGACCAGCGACAUUAACGAGAAUUAACGUUAAUUGACAUCCCUCCCCCUUAUCUUAUCCCACGACUGGCUCUCCCUCUUUUUGCCGUCUCUCGUUUUUUCGCGUCUUUGCUACCACCAACGCCGAAAGAGCCAGCCGCUCCGUUUACAGGGUGUCCUAUAAUAAAACAACUAAUCAGAAAAGAACUUUUAAAAUAUUUUUUUUUAAUUUGCGAGUAGCUACUUUUAGGUCACAUUAUAUGUGUGGGGGAGGGAGGCUCGUAUGCGUGCGCGCACGUGUGUGUGUGUCUGUAUGUGCGGAUGAACCUGUAAUGUUCGAAGACGUCUCUAAUCCUUUCUGGCGAGUGAUUAAAACUUAAUCCGAGAGCGACGUUAAAAAAUAAUAAUGGACGACGCAGCAUGCACUGUUAUAUUAAAUCUUUCAUUGUCAUUAAUAAAAAUUAAAACCCGUAAAUAUUAAAAAAACAAAUAUUUAUAUAUUUAUCAUUUUUAUAAUAAUUUUCGCAAUUUUUCUGAAUUAUAUUAUUACAUUAUGUAUCACACACAUUAUUAUAUUUUUAUUUUAUACAUACAUAUGAAAAUUACAAGUUCUAUUAAACCAUUUAUAUUUUGUCAUUUUUAUCAUUAAGUAUUUUAAUGCACGUUUUAUGUGUAAUCCUUUAUUGCAUUAUUUUUGUGCACGUUAUUUUUAAUUUUAUCUUCUUUAUUCCUGCAUUAUCGAUGUUCAAUGCAGUUUUAAUACAUAAUCCUAACAGUUGCUGUUUCGUUCUUACUAAGCGGUGAACGACGAGUGGAACGUUAGCAAAAUGAGAAAUGCGUACUGAGACAGUGAGAGAGAAGGGGAGGAGGAGAGGGGGGAGAGAGAGAGAGAGAGAGACGCAGAGAAAUCAAAGAUUCGAUUGUACCUUGUCUCCCUUCACUCUCUUUCAGCUUUCGUCUCUUUGCAAUAUUACCGGCUUCCGAGCUUAUUUGACUUUUAUAUCGUACGGCAAUGUAUAAUCGCCCAUGAUACAUGUUGAAAAACUAUAAAUUUUGUUCUCAGAACGCUACCAUUAUUUAUCAUACUAAUUUUAACAAUACAAAAGCCCGGAAAUAAAAUAAAUUAUUAUUUAAAUAAUGCUCUUUGAAACAAAUUGAUAUAUUUUCAUGUAUCAUAAUUUAUACAUUAUUGUAAGAAUUUAUUCAUAAUGUUGCAAUUUAUUUUUACUAUUCUUUUAUAAAUAUGUGUAUCUUUGUAAUAUAUUCAUAUUAGGUUGUAAAACAUCGAGUUGAAGAAAUACUGUGAUAGACGCAAUGAUAACGUGAUAACACGCAACAGGUCUGGAAGCAAAUCGGUAAGGGUGAAAGAGAAAAAGAAGAAUGAUGGACGAAGGAAAGGGGACGCGAGAGAACAGUGAAUGUAAGGGGAUUUGUGCGAUACAGUGGGCGACUUUAAUGAUUUCUCGAGGUUGUUUCAAUAGAGUACGACUGUCCGUUGUUGCAUCACCGUUAUAUACCGGGUGUACAAGAUGAUACGAAUUAACUUUUUCCUUCAUUAAUAAAUAAGCAACUGCUUCUCGUGUUCCUCACAAAUUUUUCAUUUAUUUUUCAAUUUUUAACCAAACUUUUGCUCUCUCAUAUCUUAUAUUCUGUUGAUUUUGCACUAUAUUUAUUAUAUCUAUACAAUACAAAUGUUUAAAAUAUAUCUUACAUUUCAAACAUCUCUGGAAUAUUCUAGCAUGUAUUUCAACAUUUGUGCUGUUCAGAUUAUUGUUUCUCAUUUCAUGCUAUAUUCUUUCUUUAUAUGUAUAUAUAUUUUUUUUCUCAUAUUUUAUUUAUUUUGUUUGUGGACUUUUGUUUUACCUUAUACUUUGUUUGCAGAAAGGACAAGCUAAAAGAAUCCUUCGAAGAAUGCACUAGAAAAGAUGAAUCGAGAAUGUCCUGUCCUGUUCCUAAGUACUAGUGCCGCAGGAGUGAUUAGGCUGGGCAAGACGUUACCGUAUCUCCUGCUGCUCAAGUGCUUAUCAACGGGUCUGGACGGCUGUCAACUUUUGCCAGAUCGUGAUUUCGGAAGUGAUGAAAACUUCAGAGAUGCUCUUUUUCUCUUUAUUUUACACAUCAGAGAAGCACUGUAAAAUAGUUAAUAAAAUACAUGUAAUUCCUGUAUACUAA
Molecule: long non-coding RNA, 5499 nt
Organism: Odontomachus brunneus
Lineage: Eukaryota; Metazoa; Arthropoda; Insecta; Hymenoptera; Formicidae
Exons: 2
Source: RefSeq, a predicted model, not a curated record